RNAcentral lists this ribosomal RNA (1268 nucleotides) under Discotricha papillifera. Its description in RNAcentral is "eukaryotic LSU rRNA". It matches the Rfam family "Eukaryotic large subunit ribosomal RNA", at positions 23 to 1303 of the family's 3401-position model. Lineage: Eukaryota; Ciliophora; Nassophorea; Microthoracida; Discotrichidae. The record is from RNAcentral.
ACCCGCUGAACUUAAGCAUAUCACAAAGCGGAGGAAAAGAAAAUAACAAUGAUUACCUCAGUAACGGCGAGUGAAGCGGUAUCAGUCCAAAGUUUAAAUCGUCGCAAGACGAAUUGUAAUCUAAAGCGCACGCUGGGGGCGGUAGGUGGGAGGCAUAAGUAUUUGGAACUUUACGCCAUAGAGGGUGAUAGUCCCGUAUUCGGCCUUCUGCUCCGUCCACAUCCAGAUGUCGUCAACGAGUCGAGUUGCUUGGGACUGCAGCUCUAAAUGGGAGGUAGACUUCUCCUAAGACUAAAUAUUUAUGGGAAACCGAUAGUGCACAAGUACUGUGAAGGAAAGAUGAAAAGUACUUUGAAAAAAGGGUCAAAAGAUUUGAAAUCGUUGAGAAGGAAACGGUAGAAGAGUAUUAUUCCUGCGGCGACUUUUAUCGGAUAAUUCGCGCCGGCUUCGGUCGGUCGCGUUUUGACGGCCAUUCUCACGUAGGAUUUGCAGGGUGAGGUAGGGGUUGCCGGAAUCACCGUUGGGGAGUUCCGUCGCUUGCGGCGAGCCCCGGCGGAAUGCGGCUCCCUUGCCUGAGGGGCUUUUUAGCGACCCUGCAACAAUGGCUUCUACUGCCCCGUCUCGAAACACGGACCAAGGAGUCUAACACAUAUGCGAGUUUUAGAGUGCUAAACUCAUAGGCGUAAUGAAAGUAAGUAUAAGAUGCCAAGGGCAACCUGCAGCAUCGACCCGCCGUGAUCUUCUGUGAAGGACGGAGUAAGAGCAUAUUUGUUAGGACCCGAAAGAUGGUGAACUAUGCUUGAGUAGGGUGAAGUCUGGGGAAAUCUAGAUGGAAGCUCGUAGCGAUACUGACGUGCAAAUCGUUCGUCUAACUUGAGUAUAGGGGCGAAAGACUAAUCGAACCAUCUAGUAGCUGGUUCCCUCCGAAGUUUCUCUCAGGAUAGCUGGAACAAAAGUGCAGUUUUAUCAGGUAAAGCUAAUGAUUAGAGGCCUCGGGUUCGUAAUGUUCUCGACCUAUUCUCAAACUUUAAAUUGGUAAGAUACGGUCGGUUAGCUUAAGUGAACUGAACGUGUAGAAUGCAUUGUUUCAAGUGGGCCAAUUUUGGUAAGCAGAACUGGCGAUGAGGGAUGAACCUAGCGUUGAGUUAAGGUGCCAAAAUGUACGCUCAUCAGACCCUCUAAAAGGUGUUGAUUCAUAUAGACAGCAGGGCGGUUGCCCUGGAAGUCGGAAUCCGCUAAGGAGUGUGUAACAACUCACCUGCCGAAUG